CGGCGAGGCCCCUUCGUGAGGCGAAACGGCGUCACCGGGGGUGCGGACGCGGCGCGCCCCUCCACCUGCCCGCGGAACGGGUGGGGAACAGCGGCCAACCGCCUCCGCCCGAGCGCCGCCGCCGCCGCCUCCCCGAGGGGCCGCAGGUGCCCUCCCGCGGCCGCGCCCCGCCCGGGCUUCCCCUCGGCUCGGCGCGGCGCCCCCCGCUCCGCUCCCGGUACCUGGUGGUGGUUGUAGGAGUUCCGCUGUUGCAGGAAGGCGGCGGCGGCGGCGGCCGCCUGGUGUUGGUGCUGGAGCUGCGGGCUCACCGGGGACCUCCGGUUCUGCUGCUGUUGCUGCUGCUGAGGGAGCGAGCUCAUAGAUCUUUGGAUACGUCUCCAGAGACAUGAUGAUUCCAGCGUCAGAAUAAUCUGCUCCAUAACGUGACCACAUUUAGGAGACCAGCUCCUGGGAGGAGACCCAAGGAGACAUCUUGAAAUUUCUGAGCAGAGAGGCUUUUGACACAGAGUUGGUGUACGCCGGAUGGCAUCCAGUUGGUAGCCUGCAUUGCUGGUGCAGCAGGAGGAAGCAAGCCUCUGACAAGAGCUAGAUAUGUCACCCUGCAGGACUGCACGGACAGCUUAAAUGGAGUGUAUGUUUGCACCUAAGCAGACUGUUAAGGUCAGUGCUUUAAAUUUCUGGCAAAGAUUUGUCAGAAUUUGCUUCUUAAACUUCUGUAAGUCAAUAGGGGAGCAAGUUCCCUUCUGAGCCAUAGCAUCUGUGUUGUACUAGCAGUAAAGACAACAGUAUGAGAAAAUAUAUUCUCUUGUACUUGACCUUAUUUCCUCUUUGAGUGUAAGAUGGAUGUUCAGUAAUUUUACAAGAACACCCACUGUUUCAAUGAAAUUAUUUUCAAUGGAUUCUGUAAGAAAUUUGCAGCUUUAAUUACUUGGGAAUUAUCUUAGAAAUUAGUGAUACAGAUCCUUCAGAUUCACUGUAGGACUAAAAUUAAUCAAACUGUUUCGUACAGGCUAGAAUUGAAGAUGUACAGAUUGAAAUUAAGAAGAGUAUUAACUGUAUCAUUGAGACUAAUUAUGACUACAUAUUCAGUAACAGAAGUGAGGUCAACAGCUCCAAGAGUGACUAUCGCAAUAUCCAGCAGCCAUAGCACUGACAUUGAGACUGGCUGGGCCAUGAGGUCAUGCUUCUGGGAGGAUGAAGAGGAAGGCCUGGAUGCACUGAGGAAGAGAGUUGAACUCAACUUUGCUAUACAGCAGAUGAAUAUUCACCCUGGUGUAUAUAUAUAUAUAAAUCUAUUUAUUUAAAAGCAAGUAAGUUCAACUUCUGAACAGUGCAUGGUAACUGUUAGGGAAGCUCUCUUUUUUUCUCCCACCCAUCUUCAUCCUCCUUUUAAACAUUCCUAACUUUGGUCGGGACUCAGAAACAAGAGCUCUUGAGUUCUUCAUGCACUUUACAUCUCUGAUCUGAUGAUCAGUUGUAAAUCAGUUUUAGCUUUGUCAUUUUCUACCAUUCAUGCUGUUGUGAUGAUAACAAAAUCAUGGAAAACCAAUAUGCCUCUUUCACCAUGUACAUUUGGAUUACGAAAAACAUAUUCUUGUGGUUCUUUCUUAGGGUUCGUUUAUAAUAUUUUAAUUAUUAAAAAAUAAAGAAAAGAAAUCAAAGAAAAUCUCCUGCCAUGAAAUAUGUAAAAAGCUGAAUAACAUAGAAUAUUUAUGCUUAAGUAUUUUGGAAAUGCGUUAUCUUUACAAAAGAAUCAUUGAAACCUGGGAAAUGUAGUGAAAAUAUUGUACUUCAAUAAAAUAUAUUAAAAAAGAAAAUAUAUCAAGUCAUCCAGGAAACCUUAAUUUUCUGCUAUAAUGAGAACUUGAGGGAAAUGUGAAGUUAAAUUUAGUUUAUUUCUGUAGGCACUAAAUUUUUAACUAUUUCUGCAUAGUUUUACUAAGAAUUAGGAUUGUACGACCUAAUCAUUAACUCCUCAACCUGCAUAAUUUUAGAUUUUUUUGCAGGCUUAAUCCAACUCUGGGACUGGAAAUCAUAUCUUCUAACUGUACAGCUACAAGAUGAAGGGACUAGGAAAAAAGCAGGGGAAAAUCAGAACUAUUAUGUUCAUCUCUUAUACAGAGAACACAAAACCUACUGUAAUUAUGUCAUUUCCUCUCUCAUUAUGGUAUUGAGAGCCCAGAUCCAUUUUUAUGUAGUGGUACAAAACAGUUUGCUAUUUAAGUAUAGCUUACAGGAGCUACUUUGCAGAAUUGAUAUUCACAUACGCCACAAAUCAAUUGUUCCCACGAUAUUAAAAGGGAAAAUUAUCUCGAUCUUUAAAAAUUCCCAAACCUUGGUAAAUCUCCUUGAGUAAUUGUGAUAUAAUUUUGGGUCAAUGUGCUUUGACCAAAGGUCAGUCAAAAUGAAUAAUCCAGGGAACAUUUGUUUUCCUAUUGGUAAUCCUUUUUUUUGUGCAUGCUUAUGCAGUUUGUUGUAAGUGAAGAGCUCAUAAUAUUUAUACGUUAGGAAAUCAAAGGGCUUUUCUCUCUUCUUUAUCUUUUUUGUCUUUCUUUUUCUUUUUCUUUUUCUUUUUCUUUUUCUUUUUCUUUUUC
Molecule: long non-coding RNA, 2594 nt
Filed under: Gallus gallus (chicken)
Lineage: Eukaryota; Metazoa; Chordata; Aves; Galliformes; Phasianidae
Source: RNAcentral